Molecule: non-coding RNA, 9449 nt
Organism: Phalacrocorax carbo (great cormorant)
Lineage: Eukaryota; Metazoa; Chordata; Aves; Suliformes; Phalacrocoracidae
Source: RefSeq, a predicted model, not a curated record
UUAUUAUGUUUGAUUUUAGAACACCAUGGAUGAACCCAGGCCUAUUCAACCCCGCAAGAUUUGUCUGUGACAACUGUCCAAUAAACAAGGACCUAACUGAAAAAAGUAAUGAUCUUCAGACUUGGCAAAAGAAGGUUGGGUGUUAUGGAGAGCUAAGGAGCAGCCCCUGAAGACACCCUAGAUGAGAAACACUGUGCCUCUCAUGUUAGAACAGGGCAGGAAGAUGCUGAUGGCAUCCAGAUUUUGGAAAAUUGGUAAAAACAGUACAUGUAAAAAUGGAAGAUGACUGAUGGUAUUUGCUUCAGGAAACCAAACAUCCCUUAUCCACUAUUUUGAGAACACAGUGAACACCUUGAACAUUUACUCAUUUUGGGCUAUUGUCUGUGGAAAUACUGUUCCAGGGUUUUUUUCUCUGCCUGUGGUGGACUGGACUGGCACUGAUACAGUCUUGAUGCUUGGACUGAUCGUCAAUGGUGCUGCAUUGUGGAGUGAUAUUACCUCUGAUGGAAAUGCAGAUAAGACAAUGUUUCAUUUAUAACCUACUACUAAACGGGAAAUCUGUGCAUUCUAAAUUAUUAGAUAUAUGGACAUAUUAAUGCACCUUUUCUUGUAACCUGCAUCCAGAGCCAUCAAGACACGUAAAAAGAUUUGUUCAUUUCCAUAAAGUACUUCAUAGGACAGAAUGUCAGCCUGAGUGUUAUUAGAGGCUUCUUUCUUGGAUUCAGCCCGUUCAUCCUCGUUCUCCCUGAUAAGCUGACAGAUGUACUGUUGUGCCCCGGGGACAUCACAAUAUAUGGUGUGAACCUACCAUGGAUCAAAAAUUAGAUCAUAUUUCCUGUAAAGCUGGCACAUCUCUUUGCAAUUCAUGUAGUUCACAUAACAACUAGAAGGAUAGAAAAACAUGUUUUUUCCAUGAAGCCAUUCUCAUGCUUCACAAAUUUAUCUUUUAAAAUAAUGCCUAUUAAGGAAUGUGCAAGUUGGUCCAAUCAGUUUUCUGUAAGCUGACUUUUAGUGGGUAUUUAUGGUUCUUUAAUUCCAUGUGUUAUUCUGAAAAUCUCACCUGUAGCCUUUAAAUCAAUAUAUACAAAAUAACUUUUAAUUUUUUAAGAAGAUAACAAUAAUAAAAUUGCACUUUUUUCCUUAUUGAAGUUUUUAGAAAUGCCAGUAAAUAAUUUUUUUUUUUGCAGUAACUGAGUUCUUACCUUCUUGACAAGAGCUUCCAAGAAUAUUAGCACUGCCAUUUGAGGUUUCAUGGCCUUGUUAUAUCUUCCACUUUGUAGGAGUUCAGUGACUUCUCUCUCUCGUUUCUGUAAAGAUUCUUGUAUCUUUUGCAGGGUGGUGUGUGCUUGCCAGAGAUAUCCUUUUUCCAUUGACCAUUCAGGCUUCUCUUCUUCAUUAGCUACCUGAGGGGCAACAAAGAUAACUCUUACAUGCUAAGCGAGGAUCAAGAUUUUCAUUCCUUUCACAUGAAAUUGCCAAGAUUUUAAUGAGCAAGACUUUUGCAGAAGAAUUUUUAUCUGGAAAUUGAUGAGGUCUUGCACUCUUUCUACAUAGAGACUGAUGUUGUGAAGCUCCUGCAAAGCUGAGUUGAAAACAAAAGGAAAAACAGCAUUUGUCCACAUUAUGGGAAUGAAAGAAGAGACAGAAGUUACAGACACUCCUGAAACAGCUUUUGGAAGAACAGUCUUAAGGCAGCUGUAAAGAAACGGUUGUAUGUAUCAAAUCUUACCAGCAUUACUUGGUCUAAUGGAAGGUAUUCCUUAUUCUUAUGAGCCUUAGAACAUUGUAUUCUCAUCACUUCUCACUCUUGAUUAUAAUAUUUUUGCUACAUUUCCUUGAUAUGCAACAGUUAGGUCAAAGGAUUUGUAAAACCCGUGAUUUUUCACAGUUUACCGAUCAGGAAUAGGGUAUUAUUGUGGUAGACAUUGUUGAAAGUGUUUGAAAAGAGAAAACCUUAAUUUUAAAUACUGGCGUUGUGCAAAGUUUAAUCGAAAGGUGGUGCUACAUCAUUUGAUAAAAAAAAAAAAAAAAUCACUCUUCUCUGAGACGUUCACUCUGAAAUCCUGCAGAAAUCUACAUUCAGUUUCAUAAAUAAAAAGGAGAAUCUGGCUUUGAGACUCCCCUCACCCCACCACAACCUUUGCUAAGAUCUCCUGAAUACAUGUCUUGGAAUAAUGCAAUGAAACUUGGCUGUUAUAAAGCAAUGUUGAAGAUUUGCAAAAUUACAGAAGAACUUGCACAUAUUACAUGGCGUAGAACACUACGCAGAAAAUAACAAUUAUAAGACCGUGCUCACAGAUGCUAUCUAUAAGAACCAACAAAUUUAUUUCUUUUUCCACCUUUUUCCACCUCCAUCUCAAAUCUUUAGUAAACUGAAGUUGCAAUAUUACAGAGAAAUCUGAAAACCUGAGGAAUUUUUCCUUUUUCCUGGGAGCUACCAAUUAAGGUAGUUUUGCUGGUAGGUCACUACAGUAUUGUAGCAGCUUAGAUGAGGUAAAGUUUUUGUAGUCUUUUAAUGCUAAUUGCUAAAUAAAAAAUAACCAAUGUGCUCUACUGUGACUUUUAAAAUUCCUCAAAAGACAUGAAAUUUGAAAUGAGAGAGAGAAAUGACAAUGUAAUAAUUUUUAGUGGAAAGAAUAAUAUAGUAUGACAAGAAAAAAUGUACAUCACCUUCAUUGGUGUUUAAAGGCCAAAAAACUACUCUGGGUACUCUGAAAAAAGUAAGGCAGGUGCAUAGCAGUUCAGUCUUAGCUGAUUUAGAUGUACAUAUCUAAAGGCAGGCAGUGUGGUUUCUAUGUCCCUUAGGCUCCUGGAAACAGCACACAGUGGAAACAGAAAUGUGAGCACAGUCUUAACUCCAAAAAAGAACACCCGAACUAGCUUUGUUUACCUUUUCUGCUUCCCAUUUCUCUGUUUGUUGCUUCAUUUGGUGAAGGAGAUCUUCUUUCUCUUGGAUCAGUUGUCCAUUUCUUUCCCUCAGGCUCUGAAGGCAGUACAAUAAGGCAAAAGGCAUUACAAUUUCUACACCAGUGCUUCAUUUUUCAGAAAUGUCUAUAUUUUGGGUUUUUUUGUUCCACACAUGUGAAGAAGUCAUAACAUUUGGACUAUGCUGCUAAGUCCUGGGGAUCUUGCACAAAAAUAAUACAAAUUUAUUAUUUUAUUUUCUUUUAAAUUUAAUUUAUAUUAUUAUUAUAAUAAAAAAAUGACAAUGACACCAUGUGACCAGAGGUGGUCUGAUUCUAAAGACCUUCCCUAAAGGCAUGAACGUGCUGAACAUUUUUCUCAGUAGCAGAACAGAAGGAGGAAUAAAUCUUAAUACGUGUUCAUCACCAGAAAAGCAUUACACAUCUUAUAUGUUCUGUGAAUAUCUUUUCACCUUCUUUUCAUAAAAUGAAAGCUAUUUCCAAGGCGUAAGCACAGACAGUAAAGGACAGCCCUAUGCUGAGUUUUCAUUAGGGGAGUGAAGAUAGGCCAAGCUGUGAAAACUGUUUUGGAAAUAUACUGUGUAAGGCUUUAUUCAUCUCCUUAAGAGACAGACAUAGUUUUGUAUUAAUUUGACAAACAGUGUGUCUUUAUUUGACUGGCUGUUCCUAAGAAGAAAACAUUACUUACACAGCCUGUUCCUUUAGCCUCUGGAAGCAUGUGCCAUUCUUACCCCCAGGUAAAAAAAUGUAGUUCUUGGUUACCUUAACUGUAUCUUGCCAGUGUAUGUUGCUCUUGUUCAUCAGCUCUCGGUAAGCUUCUAACUGGGAUUUCAGACUCCUUGUUUUCUCACCAUAAUGUUUCUUUAUAGCAGUUAUAGCCUGCUCCUGUAUUACAGAAGAUUAUUAGGAAAAUGGUGAGUGAAAACAUGAAAGCCAAGCAUGAUAAAGAGAAUAGUUUCCACAAAAAAUGCUUGGUUCUGUUUCUUCAAUGCUUUUUAUUGUCUGCAAGCACUUCUUACGGAUCACUGGAUGUUUGUAUUUUCACCCACUGCGGAUUUGGAGAAAAACUUACUGCUAAAGUAAUUUAUCUUUUCUGGCUUUCUGCAGUUGUAAAAACCAAAGCCUUUCUGAGAGCAGACCAGAAUGAAUUCACUUUAAGCAUAACUAAGUCAUUUUAAAGAAAUUAAACUUUUCUCACAAAACAAAAGCUUGGAAGUAUAAGCCAUACUAUAAAUAGCACAAAAAUUACUCUUAGCAACCGGAAACAUCUAAAUAAGGCAAUGCAAUUUCAUAAGAAAUAGAAACAAAUCAGAAACUUUAGAAAGCACAGAUAUUUACAGUGCUUGUAGGAAUAAUUUUUAUUUCAAAGAUUUUAAUUAAUAACACAUUACAGCAUCCAAAAUGAAAGAGGUUCUAUGAAGAAAGAUCAUUACAGUCGCUGUAUUUGCAUCUGUGCCCAACAGGCAAUUCUCUCUUACUAUACAUUUGUGUUCUUCCCGUUUCUCUCUUUAACUUCCCCUAGUGAUCUACAGAGUCAAUUGCAGGUGUAGGAUCUGACUGCAAGGGUUACAUUCCUACCAAAGCACGGAAAUGGAUUUACGCACAAUGCUUGUGCACAUGUGAUAACCUGAGAAUAAUAUGAAGUCUUGUGCCUUACCAAAGGAUACCAAUCCUACACUACAUAUAGGGAACUCUCUCAAGUUUGCUUGACAGUCUGAAAAGUUUGUUUACUUCCCCAUGGAGGUUCCAGAGGAAUUUCUGAGUCUUUUCUCUCUGUUCACGCAGAAUAAACUUUUAUUGUAUAGAAAACAUACAUCUGCACAGGAAAUAAGUGCCUGUCUUACUCUGGAACAGAAAAGGAGAAUGAUGUGACCAAUAAGCAGAAAGAUGAAGCAGUGACUGCAAGAAAAGGUUUCAGAACAAUGUAGCCAAAGAUGAGGAUGAAGAAAAUUAUCAACUCAGAGCACUAGCAGCUUCAGUUAUAAGGAAACAUCAAACAAUUUUGAGGUACAUUUCUCAAAAUUGACAGAUACAUUAAAGUGAAGAGUUCAGUCUUGGAAAUAGAUAAAUAGCCAACAGGACUGCUGGCCAAAGCUUUCAGGCUUCAUCAGCUAGAAAAUAUAUAGUGUUACUGAAUAAAAAUCUGCAUAUGACUUGAAAUGGAUUUUCUUUUCUAGUCCUAGUAUUUCAUCUCUACCUCUCCCUUUUUACUGUAGCGAUCCGAACUGAAUAUAGAAGACACUGUCAUUACAAUUAUUCUAAUGUUCUUGAAGAAGAAAAACAGCAUUGUGAAGUUUAUUACUGAGAUAAAAGUGAAAAAAAUAUUGUAGGCAGUGGAGAAGACUACAUUUUUGCAUUCAAGAUUUAGGUAACACAAAUUGAUUACAGAAUACACUCAAUUUUGUUUUGUAGUCCAUUAAAAUAAUUUGAAAACCUGCAAAAUUGAUAUAACUUUAAGGUCACUACAAUAAUUUUCGUGACUAAUAAAAAGAGCUGUGUACAUAAAGGACUGGCAAAGUGACCUUUUUCUUGCCUGAAAAUGAGUCAUUUAAGCUUAAAAUUGCAUCAGAAUCCUUAGUGACUCUGUUUUAUUAAAUUUGUUUCUAAUCCAAAUUAUAAUAGUCACAGCUGGAAAAUUCUACUACCUCCUAUCCCAGUUUCUGUUGUCUGCUUUCCUUUUGACAUACUUGUCUGGUAGGUGCAAUGUCAAAUUACACAACACACAUACUUGUAUGUCUUAAAUGAGGCUAACAGAUACUGCUGGAUGAAUUACAGUAAUAAUGAACAUGAUAAUAUGUAAAUUAUAAAAAUCUAGAGUUUUUCCAGAUAUUUCCUUGGUUUCUGUUCUUCGUUUAAGCUUAGUAUGAUGCAGAUUCCACUGACAGUAAGCAGCUCAGCUAAAAUAAAACUGAAAAAGAAAAGAAAUUAGAUUUUUUUGUGGUGGCUAACGAAUAAUUUUUAAACAGUUGCGGUUGUUAGCAAUGAUCUAUGAUGAUAGAGUAAAUCUUUGUGAGUAUUUACAAGCAGUUAAUUUGGGAGGAAAAAAUCUCUACCAUUUGACACUGUCACAGUUCAAAUGACAUAAAAGUGGAAAGCAGCAAUGUGGUAUUGAAAUACACUGUCCUACUUACCGCCCAUCAAAAACACUACUGUAGAAGUGAGGAAUUUUAAAAUACACAAUUAAAAGGUUAAGACACAAAAAAAGCCUCUUCUAUGAAAAGACAGAAAAGAUCCAGGUGGGUUUAUCCCUUUUAUCACCCACAGAGCUCUGAGUGGUCAUAAGCAGAUUGCUUCAGGUAUUUGAACUUGUUUCUUACAGCUAGCUCAGGGGUCUGUAGCCUGUACCGCAGAAGUCACCAUAGAACUUUUUUGGCACAUAAUGAAAGAACAAGAGUACAAAAGCAUAUUUAAUGGAAUAAAUAAACCAAUAAACCAGGAAAUAUAGAUCUACAUGGACACAUAUACACACAGAUAUUGCAUAAUAUAAAAUAAACGGGCUAAGCAGAAAAUCCAAAGUUAUACUACUUAUUGGUACCAGAAAUAUUGCAAUAGCAACAAAAUCUCUUACUGCAAAUCAAAAUCCACUUCCAACAAUUAAGAAACAUGAUGAAUAAUACAUGGGAAGGCAAGGGUUUUCUCCCUCAGUUACAGUUACAGGGGAGUUUUUUACCUUUAGACACCUACCUGGAACAGGCAAAUUUAUGCAACUCAGUAUCUGAUCUUAACCUAAGAUGGCAUGUCCUAUUUAAUGUUUAUAUUUUUAUGUCAACAUUCAAAAUUUAAGUACAGGCUUCCGAGUGUGAAGAAGAAACCUACCAAGCAAUAACGGGGGAGUGUUCGUUGGCUUUUUUGUUGUUGUUACCUUAAUGAUAUAUAAUGUAGCUAACUUGUACGGAAUAUAUGGCACUUCAUCUUUGGUUGUACAUUCCUCCAGCUCAGUUGCUUUGUGGUCAGCAUCAGAACAAACUCCAGAUGCUUUCAGAUGAUCUACUGUAUAACAAAAAUUACUUUAUCAACUUGAAGUAUUGAACUAGAAUGCAUAGCAACUCCAGAUGUACAUAUUGUAUUUUAAAAUUUAUAUUAGAGACAUCAAGUAUGUUUUAAAACAUAUCUUUUUUCUGAUAACAAAUAAAACAGACCUUUGGGAGAAGAAUUUUAGCAACUCUGACUUGUCAGCUUUGAUCUAUAGAAACCAUCAUACUGUUAUGUGGUCUGACAAUUACUUGUCCAUGACUACGCUGAUGCUAAUUACUUCCAUGUAUUUAUGUCAUUAAAAUUAAAAAUGAAAACAUAGCUAAAAAAAAUCAUGCAGAAAUAUGGUGCCUCUUAAGAAAGCUGGCUUUUGUCACAGCUAAGAAGAGGGCACUUCAAAGCUUCCUUCAAAACUACAUUUUACAAGUUGUUUGGUAGACCCAGUUUAUAUCAAAGUAUGAUAUAAAAUUCUAAGAUUUCUUUUUCUCUUUAAUUUUUGUUAUUAAAAACAUAUUACUUCUUUUUUUAUUUCAAUCAGAUCUCUCUGGCUUAACACACUACACAACUUCCUAUUAGAAAGUUAUUUUUUAGUAUCAUAACCCUUAAUUAAGUAUCAUAAUUAUCUAACAGGUGUAUAAGGUCAAAAGAGACUGAUCUGAUUACUUAGAAUGGUGUCUUGUAUAAAUCCAAGUGAUACAACUUCAUUCAGAAAUCCAAGCUACACAACUUGUUCAAGCAGUGCUCGCAUAGAAAAAUACAGAUAGUGCAUGCAUGAUGUGUUCCAGAAAACAAGAAUAAUAUCUGCUAUAUAAAUAUACCUUUUUCUACUCUGUUUUCACUCCAUCCAACCAGGGAAUUCAGAAAUGACCACUUGUUUAUAUUCAUUCCAAGUUUGUGCUGCCAUGGGUUUCCCUCUCCAUCUGUUAAUAAAAUUCAGGUGCAGAAAUCAGGUGCAAAUCACUGCAAUUCUCCAAAAUCUCUUGAUUCACUACUUAUUUGGAUUUAAAUGUGGUAUGCACUAAUUCUGUUCAGACCAAAGGAGUUUUGAAUAAGUAAAAGGGAUACAAAACGAAGAGAGAAUGGGGAGUCAUUGAGAGAGUUACAAGCAUAAGAAGGAUGUAAUACUUGUUUAAUACUGGAAUGGUUCCACCUGGACCUGAAAAUAGGGAUAUAUUGAAUCCAAAAGCUGUACUCAGGACUUGUUUCUCAUCUUUUGCUAAAAUUUUUUCGUAACGUAAUUUAAAAAAAUUAUAAAAACAAACUGGAUUUUGCCAAAUAUCUUUGAAAAUAAAUGUUGGUGUGUAGGGGCAGGUGUGGAUCGCAUUGUUAGAUGAGAUAUAUGUGACCCAGGUAUAUUAAUGAGCACUCUGGAUGCAUGCAACAUUCCUGGUGAGAGAAAACCAAGCCACAACAACCAACAUGAGCAACUUCUUCAAGUGUUCUGAUGUGAAAGGGAGAACAGUGCCUUAAAGAAGUCUUCUGACUCUUUGAAUUGGUUGAAACAAUUAUCAGAAAUUAAGUAUUUUUGUCCACUGAGGAAAUCUAAAUGUAUAUCUACCUUUCCUGAGAUCCUGAAGCAAUAUUCAUUUACUUCCAUGGUGCAGUGAUUUUCUACAAUGAAAUAUCUGUCUCUUCACAUUGCUUUUAUUGGACUUACUGUAACAAUAUGUACUGUGUGAAAAUAUAGUCUAUCCAGCUACUAAAUGGAAUCACCUAUUGGAUCCUAUUCCCAUACAGUGAUAAAAGUCUUGGUUUUCAAAAGGCGGUUUUGAAGAUAUAUAAAAUACAUAAUUCAAUUAAUAUGUAUUGAAACAAGUACUCUUACCUUGUUAUUAUUUCUCAAUUUAUUAUUUGCAUCACUAUACAUUACAUACAUGUAUAUAUAUAUAGCCUUUUGUUUUGUGAAUUAUGUCAGUGAAGGACAGAUGUUGAAUUAUAUAUAAUAUCUAUUUCUUAAAGGACUUUGACCUCUCACAUCUACAUCCUUUUGGUUCAUAUUUGGAUUUUGUUCCACAACCUUGGAGACUAUUUGAAGCCACAGUUAUUCUUGCAAAAGCCAUUCACUUUGCAUAAAGCCUACUUUUGGUAAAAUUGGCUACUAGAGCAUCAGUGCUUGCAGGCCAGGAGUGUAGGGUCUAUCUUUUCCUCUAGGAUAAAGAUUAGUCUUAAGCCCUUAGUGGAACACAGACAUACAGAUGUUUCCUACUGUCAUGGUUUUAGCUGAGAUAGAGUUAAAUUUCUUCACUGCAGCUGGCACAGCGCUGUGCUUUGGACUUCGUAUGAAAACAAUGUUGAGAUAACACACAGACGUUUUGGGCUGUUGCUGGGCAGUGCUUGUACUAGUCAAGGACUUUUCCAGCUUCCCAUGCUCUUCCAGGUGCACAAGAAGCUGGGAGGAGAGGGGGCACAGCUAACAGAGUGGAUUCAAACUGGCCAAAGGGAUAUUCCAUAUCAUGUAAUGUCACAGCCAGUAUGUUAACUGGGAGGAGCUGGCCGGGGGAGGCAGGCAGCAAUCAGCAGCAUUGGUCGGCGGGUGGUGAGCGGUUGUAUUUU